Molecule: unclassified non-coding RNA, 239 nt
Filed under: uncultured Acidobacteriota bacterium
Lineage: Bacteria; Pseudomonadati; Acidobacteriota
Description: uncultured Acidobacteria bacterium contains 16S-23S intergenic spacer region
Source: RNAcentral
UCCGUCUUGUCAACGGCAGUCUCAACAGAGUUCCCGGCAUUACCCGAUGGCAACUGUUGAUAAGGGUUGCGCUCGUUGCGGGACUUAACCCAACAUCUCACGACACGAGCUGACGACAGCCAUGCAGCACCUUGCACUCUGUCUGGUUUUACCCAAAAGGCUCCAUCUCUGGAGUUGUCAGAGGCAUUCUAGCCCAGGUAAGGUUCUUCGCGUUGCGUCGAAUUAAACCACAUCAUCCA